Molecule: long non-coding RNA, 343 nt
Filed under: Mytilus galloprovincialis (Mediterranean mussel)
Lineage: Eukaryota; Metazoa; Mollusca; Bivalvia; Mytilida; Mytilidae
Source: RNAcentral
GGACGACAUCGAAAGUUCAAUGAAAAACUAAAAAAAAAAACUCAAUCCACAUAUUUUUUUUUAAUUGACUCCCCCUCCCCCCCACAAGUUGCUCAUCCUGCCUUUUCUUCCACUCAAUGGACUCGAUGAAUUAGCGUUGUACUUGAAAAAAUGAAACCGUACUUUUCUACAAACACUUUUCAUAUUCUUUGACAAGUUUUAGAUAUUCGAAACAGGAUAGUGAUUUUUUUUCUGAUUCCGUUUACUUGAGAAAAAAAUUCCGAAAUUGUAAGUAAAUUCAUAAUAUGUAACCAACCAUGCUUUGUUAAAAAAAAAACGCAGAUGGCAAACCAUGGCACAGGGG